AAACGUAGGGGGCGAGCGUUGUCCGGAAUUACUGGGCGUAAAGGGCUCGUAGGCGGCAGUCCAAGUCAGAUGUGAAAACCGACGGCUUAACCGGAGGAUUGCAUUUGAAACUGGGUUGCUUGAGGCAAGGAUAGGAAGGUGGAAUUCCCGGUGUAGCGGUGAUAUGCGUAGAUAUCGGGAGGAACCCCAGUGGCGAAGGCGGCCUUCUGGCCUUGACCUGACGCUGAGGAGCGAAAGCCAGGGUAGCAAACGGGAUUAGAUACCCCGGUAGUCCUGGCUAUAAACGAUGGACACUAGGUGUGGGUGGUAUCAACCCCAUCUGUGCCGCAGUUAACGCAUUAAGUGUCCCGCCUGGGGAGUACGGUCGCAAGGCUGAA
Molecule: ribosomal RNA, 377 nt
Filed under: uncultured bacterium
Lineage: Bacteria
Description: bacterial SSU rRNA
Rfam family: Bacterial small subunit ribosomal RNA
Source: RNAcentral